GAAGGAGGAGGUUUGGGAUCCCAGUGCCAUGGAGGCUGGACAUGGAUCCCCAGGAAGAUGGAGGUCUGCCUUUCCCUUAUCCUCUGCUCUCUAUUCCUCCUAUACCUCCUCCCUACUCCCCUGACCAAUGCCCAAGGGAGCUGCAUGUCCUUGACUGCAGAUGGGUGAGGAAGGAAGAAAAAAGUCAGCCUGGGUGAUGGAUACAUUUGGAAAAUGUGUGAAGUAUGGAGCAGCUGUGGACCUCUCACCUCCAAGAAAGGCUAAGUUGAUGGUGUCUUCUAUCUUUUUUUGAGUCCUAAUUAAUCUUUAACAUUUUAUUCCAUGUACUUUUAAUUUUUUUAGUGUAUUGUUCUUCCCAUUUCAAUUGUUGUAGUUAUGAUGUAUACUGUUUUCCCUGGGGAUGCUGUUCCCCGUUCUGUCUUAUGCCCUCACCCCUCCUCUGCAGAGCCUAGCAUUGUGCUGACCAUUGAGUAGGUGCUCCACAAGUGGUGUUUGUUGUAAAAUGAAUUGACCUAAAAUCUAAUGAACAAGGAACUGCCUAACUCUGAUUUUGUUGAUUGUCACCUCUGCACUGCCUCAAAUUUUUGAGCCUGGGAAUGGCAUUCCCAAUUCUCCCAACUCUUUCACGUCUACAGUUGCUAUGAUUCCUCUCCCUCUCUGACUCUAACAUAGGAGAAAAAUCUUGGCCCUGCAGGCCCUACACUCAGGAGGAGCUGUCCUGUGGAGCAUGUCAGUGAAUCCAGAAGCCUCUGAGCAGAUCUCUCUGUUGUGCCAGUCUCUUCCAGGAGGCUUGAGCACCAGCAAUCUUUUCGUUCUCAUUUAAUGUUGGAAUCAAACGAGAUCCUGGGAAGUCAUUGGGCUGUUAACAUUAGCAGACUUCCUUUGAACUGAUAGAGCCUUGGGGAUGGGGAGAGAGGAGACAGUCUCUGAACCCUUACCCUCCCCUUCACCCCCUCAUCUUUUUGGUAUGGUGAUGCUUCGUUUAAUGGUAUAUAUUGUUUUCUGGUUUCAAGCAGAACCUGGUGAAAGAGGCACUUCCAUGGAGGUUGUUGUGCAAUAGAAAGGGGAGACUGUCUGUGAACCUGUGGAUUGCUGUGAUUUACAGACUGAAAAACAGGAUUUUUUGUGAGGCAAUUGGGGUUAAGUGACUUGCCCAGGGUCACACAGCUAAGAAGAAAAACAAAGUCAGGACAACUAUAACAUUCAGAAGAAAAAUACUUGUGGAUGAAGAUACCAUCUCUGAGAACAUUCCACUUACUAUAGGCUUGCUUUCUGGGGAAGCACAUCUAGUCUCCGAACAUUCAGAGGAAAAGCUACUUGUUGCAGGAGACACUGUCUCUGAGAACUUAACAGUUACUACAAAAUUACUUUCAGGGGAAUCACAUCUAAUCUUAAAACAUUCACUAGACAAGACAUUUGGGGUUGAAGACACUGUCUCUGAGAACAUUCCACUUACUAUAGGCUUGCUUUCUGGGGAAGUACAUCUAGUCUCUGAACACUGAGGAAAAAAUACUUGUGACAGGAGACACUGUCUCUGAGAACUUAACAGUUACUACAAAAUUACUUUCAGGGGAAAUACAUCUAUCUAAUCGUAAAACAUACACUAGACAAGACUUUUGGGGCUGGAGACACUGUCUCUGAGAACAUGCCGGUAACUAUAAAAUUGCUUUCUGCUGACACACAUCUAGUAUUAAAACAUUUUGUAGACAACACAUCCGGGGGCUGGAGACACUGUCUCUGAAAACAAAUCGGCGACCACAGGCUUACUCCCAAUGGAGUAUAGUCCUUCAAGACAAGACGCAAUCUUUAAUGAAAUCGAAGACUUUCAAACAUUCCUGAUGAAAAGACCCGAGCUGAAUAGAAAAUCACACACAAGACUCAAGAGGACCCAAAAAAGAAAAGAAAAACAAAGUCAGGACAACUAUAACAUUCAGAAGAAAAAUACUUGUGGAUGAAGAUACCAUCUCUGAGAACAUUCCACUUACUACAGGCUUCCUUUCUGGG
This is a long non-coding RNA of Dromiciops gliroides (monito del monte), 2004 nucleotides long. RefSeq lists it as uncharacterized. The record is from RefSeq and is a predicted model, not a curated record. Lineage: Eukaryota; Metazoa; Chordata; Mammalia; Microbiotheria; Microbiotheriidae. The transcript has 4 exons.